CCUACGGGUGGCUGCAGUGGGGAAUAUUGGACAAUGGGCGAAAGCCUGAUCCAGCCAUGCCGCGUGUGUGAAGAAGGCCUUCGGGUUGUAAAGCACUUUCAGUGGGGAAGAAAGCCUUGGGGCGAAUACCCUCGAGGAAGGACAUCACCCACAGAAGAAGCACCGGCUAACUCCGUGCCAGCAGCCGCGGUAAUACGGAGGGUGCGAGCGUUAAUCGGAAUUACUGGGCGUAAAGCGCGCGUAGGCGGUCUGAUAAGCCGGUUGUGAAAGCCCCGGGCUCAACCUGGGAACGGCAUCCGGAACUGUCAGGCUAGAGUGCAGGAGAGGAAGGUAGAAUUCCCGGUGUAGCGGUGAAAUGCGUAGAGAUCGGGAGGAAUACCAGUGGCGAAGGCGGCCUUCUGGACUGACACUGACGCUGAGGUGCGAAAGCGUGGGUAGCAAACAGGAUUAGAUACCCUGGUAGUC
This 465-nucleotide ribosomal RNA is filed under the name Vreelandella stevensii. RNAcentral's name for it is "partial 16S ribosomal RNA". It matches the Rfam family "Bacterial small subunit ribosomal RNA", at positions 338 to 795 of the family's 1533-position model. Lineage: Bacteria; Pseudomonadati; Pseudomonadota; Gammaproteobacteria; Oceanospirillales; Halomonadaceae. The record is from RNAcentral.